Molecule: ribosomal RNA, 250 nt
Filed under: uncultured bacterium
Lineage: Bacteria
Description: partial 16S ribosomal RNA
Rfam family: Bacterial small subunit ribosomal RNA
Source: RNAcentral
GGGGGAAUAUUGCACAAUGGGCGCAAGCCUGAUGCAGCCAUGCCGCGUGAGUGAAGAAGGCCUUAGGGUUGUAAAGCUCUUUCGCCGGUGAAGAUAAUGACGGUAGCCGGAGAAGAAGCCCCGGCUAACUCCGUGCCAGCAGCCGCGGUAAUACGGAGGGGGCUAGCGUUGUUCGGAAUUACUGGGCGUAAAGCGCACGUAGGUGGAUUGUUAAGUCAGGGGUGAAAUCCCGAGGCUCAACCUCGGAACU